This 26-nucleotide small RNA is filed under the name Danio rerio (zebrafish). RNAcentral describes it as "M_smithRNA10t". Lineage: Eukaryota; Metazoa; Chordata; Actinopteri; Cypriniformes; Danionidae. The record is from RNAcentral.
CCAAGAUGGGCCCUAAUAAGCUCCGC